UACGUAAGUGGCGAGCGUUACUCGGAAUUACUGGGCGUAAAGGGCGUGUAGGCGGUUUUACAAGUCUAAUGUAAAAAACCACGGCUUAACCGUGGGGCUGCGUUAGAAACUGUGAGACUUGAGUCUGGUGGAGGGCAAUGGAAUUCCCGGUGUAGCGGUGAAAUGCGUAGAUAUCGGGAAGAACACCGAAGGCGAAAGCAGUUGUCUAUGCCAAGACUGACGCUGAGGCGCGAAAGCAUGGGGAUCAAACAGG
RNAcentral lists this ribosomal RNA (253 nucleotides) under uncultured bacterium. RNAcentral's name for it is "partial 16S ribosomal RNA". It matches the Rfam family "Bacterial small subunit ribosomal RNA", at positions 524 to 776 of the family's 1533-position model. The record is from RNAcentral.